UACGGAGGGAGCUAGCGUUGUUCGGAAUUACUGGGCGUAAAGCGCGCGUAGGCGGCUUUGUAAGUUAGAGGUGAAAGCCCGGGGCUCAACUCCGGAACUGCCUUUAAAACUGCAUCGCUUGAAUCCAGGAGAGGUGAGUGGAAUUCCGAGUGUAGAGGUGAAAUUCGUAGAUAUUCGGAAGAACACCAGUGGCGAAGGCGGCUCACUGGGCUGACCUUGACGCUGAGGCGCGAAGGCGUGGGGAGCGAACGGG
RNAcentral lists this ribosomal RNA (253 nucleotides) under uncultured bacterium. RNAcentral's name for it is "partial 16S ribosomal RNA". It matches the Rfam family "Bacterial small subunit ribosomal RNA", at positions 524 to 776 of the family's 1533-position model. The record is from RNAcentral.